AGAGCGAACGCUGGCGGCAGGCUUAACACAUGCAAGUCGAGCGCCCGUAGCAAUACGGGAGCGGCAGACGGGAGAGUAACACGUGGGAACGCGCCCUUCGGUUCGGAAUAACUCAGGGAAACUUGAGCUAAUACCGGAUACGCCCUUACGGGGAAAGAUUUAUUGCCGAAGGAACGGCCCGCGUCCGAUUAGCUUGUUGGUGAGGUAACGGCUCACCAAGGCGACGAUCGGUAGCUGGUCUGAGAGGAUGACCAGCCUCACUGGGACUGAGGCACGGCCCAAACUCCUACGGGAGGCAGCAGUGGGGAAUAUUGGACAAUGGGCGCAAGCCUGAUCCAGCCAUGCCGCGUGAGUGAUGACGGCCUUAGGGUUGUAAAGCUCUUUCGCUCGGGACGAUAAUGACGGUACCGAGAUAAGGACGCCCCGGCUAACUUCGUGCCAGCAGCCGC
RNAcentral lists this ribosomal RNA (449 nucleotides) under uncultured bacterium. Its description in RNAcentral is "SSU rRNA". It matches the Rfam family "Bacterial small subunit ribosomal RNA", at positions 26 to 518 of the family's 1533-position model. The record is from RNAcentral.